CAAGUACUCCCUCCGUUCGAAAAUACUUGUCAUCAAAAUGGAUAAAAAGGGCUGUAUCUAUAACUAAAAUACGUCUAGAUACAUCCCCUUUUAUUCAAUUUGAUGACAAGUAUUUCCGGACGGAGGGAGUAUUAG
Triticum aestivum (bread wheat) is the source of this 135-nucleotide non-coding RNA. The record is from Rfam. NCBI's taxonomy places the organism in Eukaryota, Viridiplantae, Streptophyta, Magnoliopsida, Poales, Poaceae.